Molecule: ribosomal RNA, 1090 nt
Filed under: Escherichia coli
Lineage: Bacteria; Pseudomonadati; Pseudomonadota; Gammaproteobacteria; Enterobacterales; Enterobacteriaceae
Description: partial 23S ribosomal RNA
Rfam family: Bacterial large subunit ribosomal RNA
Source: RNAcentral
UUCGACACACUAUCAUUAACUGAAUCCAUAGGUUAAUGAGGCGAACCGGGGGAACUGAAACAUCUAAGUACCCCGAGGAAAAGAAAUCAACCGAGAUUCCCCCAGUAGCGGCGAGCGAACGGGGAGCAGCCCAGAGCCUGAAUCAGUGUGUGUGUUAGUGGAAGCGUCUGGAAAGGCGCGCGAUACAGGGUGACAGCCCCGUACACAAAAAUGCACAUACUGUGAGCUCGAUGAGUAGGGCGGGACACGUGGUAUCCUGUCUGAAUAUGGGGGGACCAUCCUCCAAGGCUAAAUACUCCUGACUGACCGAUAGUGAACCAGUACCGUGAGGGAAAGGCGAAAAGAACCCCGGCGAGGGGAGUGAAAAAGAACCUGAAACCGUGUACGUACAAGCAGUGGGAGCACGCUUAGGCGUGUGACUGCGUACCUUUUGUAUAAUGGGUCAGCGACUUAUAUUCUGUAGCAAGGUUAACCGAAUAGGGGAGCCGAAGGGAAACCGAGUCUUAACUGGGCGUUAAGUUGCAGGGUAUAGACCCGAAACCCGGUGAUCUAGCCAUGGGCAGGUUGAAGGUUGGGUAACACUAACUGGAGGACCGAACCGACUAAUGUUGAAAAAUUAGCGGAUGACUUGUGGCUGGGGGUGAAAGGCCAAUCAAACCGGGAGAUAGCUGGUUCUCCCCGAAAGCUAUUUAGGUAGCGCCUCGUGAAUUCAUCUCCGGGGGUAGAGCACUGUUUCGGCAAGGGGGUCAUCCCGACUUACCAACCCGAUGCAAACUGCGAAUACCGGAGAAUGUUAUCACGGGAGACACACGGCGGGUGCUAACGUCCGUCGUGAAGAGGGAAACAACCCAGACCGCCAGCUAAGGUCCCAAAGUCAUGGUUAAGUGGGAAACGAUGUGGGAAGGCCCAGACAGCCAGGAUGUUGGCUUAGAAGCAGCCAUCAUUUAAAGAAAGCGUAAUAGCUCACUGGUCGAGUCGGCCUGCGCGGAAGAUGUAACGGGGCUAAACCAUGCACCGAAGCUGCGGCAGCGACACUAUGUGUUGUUGGGUAGGGGAGCGUUCUGUAAGCCUGUGAAGGUGUACUGUGAGG